GACGUAGGGCGCGAGCGUUGUCCGGAAUUACUGGGCGUAAAGAGCUCGUAGGUGGUUUGUCGCGUUGUUCGUGAAAACUCACAGCUUAACUGUGGGCGUGCGGGCGAUACGGGCAGACUGGAGUACUGCAGGGGAGACUGGAAUUCCUGGUGUAGCGGUGGAAUGCGCAGAUAUCAGGAGGAACACCGGUGGCGAAGGCGGGUCUCUGGGCAGUAACUGACGCUGAGGAGCGAAAGCGUGGGGAGCGAACAGG
This 253-nucleotide ribosomal RNA is filed under the name uncultured bacterium. Its description in RNAcentral is "partial 16S ribosomal RNA". It matches the Rfam family "Bacterial small subunit ribosomal RNA", at positions 524 to 776 of the family's 1533-position model. The record is from RNAcentral.